UCAUUCGCCCACUAUACUGUUCGGUGAAGAAAUGAAUUAAGACAGCUAGAGACAUGGAUCGCUACGGACGACUUUUAACGCUGUAAAAAUUACAUAGCUUCGGUAAAUAUCAUCGCGAGCCUUCGUUAUCAUCUGCUCUUCUCCUUGCUACUUCAUGUAAAAAUAACAUUGUCCCUGUCCUUAAGAACCAUGCAGAGAGGACAUGGAGGAGUGAAGAUAAAGUCAUACAUGUACAAAUCCAUGCAGCACACGAAGACCUGUCUCUUACACAUCAAACACAUCCAUCAUAACUUGAAUAACAGCAGUCACCAAGCUCGCAGUGUGGACUGUUCAAAGGAGAGACCUACAAUAAUUCUACUGGCUGCCACCAUUCAGGAUACUACAGUCAGUUUUCAAGACGUGUCUCCUUGGUGUAUCACUGUUAAGUGCAUUUAAACAUGUUAAAUGUUAAGACUACUUUCGAUAGCUCCUUUAUGACCAAGAUAUUAAUUUAUUAACAAAGUUUUAUUCACAGACAUCAAUUAAGUACCUGCAGGAAAGUAUUCUGUAUUUUGCAGCCAUGUCUGUGUAGUGGAUUGUAUUUCUGUUAUACAAUAUUUGGUUCACAUACUUUCACUUUGUAACAUGAGAGGAGAGGCUUGGAAUACUUAGGUGCAGAUGAGAGGGUAACAUUAAAAUGGAUCUUAAAGAAAUGCAGUGACAAGAUGAAAUAUAUUCGUUUGGCUCAAGAUAGGGAUCAGUUGUAAACAUGGUAAUGGGUCUUCACAUUCCAUUAGUAAAACUGGAAAUUUCCUGCCUAGCUGAACUCCUUAAGGACUCUGCUUCAUAAAGUUAGUUAACUGUAUCCUUGCAUAGGUACAUAGUUUGACCUGGAAUAGCUCAGGCAGAUUAGUGAUGAGCUCUGGACUGAACAGCCAGGGCAAGACAUUUUUUCUCUACUACACAGGAUCCAGGUCAGCUCUGAGGACCACUGUGCCUCCUAUUCAGUGGAUACUGGGAGUUCUUUCCCUGAGGGUAAAGCAGCCAGGGCAUGAAGCUGACCACUCA
Cryptotermes secundus is the source of this 1047-nucleotide long non-coding RNA. RefSeq lists it as uncharacterized. The record is from RefSeq and is a predicted model, not a curated record. The transcript is spliced from 3 exons. Lineage: Eukaryota; Metazoa; Arthropoda; Insecta; Blattodea; Kalotermitidae.